GCAUGGCCGAAUUCUGUUCCAGCUGCUCUGUGGUGGAAACAGUCAGACACCAUGCAACAGUCUCGUCUCAUUUCUGCCAAACAACUGGAUGAGUGCUGCACGAAGCCUAAUCCAACAUAGGAGAAUGAGUACAAUU
This is a small nucleolar RNA of Thalassophryne amazonica, 136 nucleotides long. RefSeq annotates it as small nucleolar RNA SNORA15. The record is from RefSeq and is a predicted model, not a curated record. The transcript has a single exon. Lineage: Eukaryota; Metazoa; Chordata; Actinopteri; Batrachoidiformes; Batrachoididae.